AACAAAACCAACAAUUAUCAUAUUAGAAACAUGUAUUUUUGAACUAUCUUUGUAUAUUAUGAUUCGGCUUCUACACCUCACGUGAUAGAAAGAGAACUAUGUCAUGGCCAAGCAAAAAAUGCAACAGGAUUCAACCAAACAAUUCAACAGUAAAGAAUGCAAACAAGUUUGGUGAAUCAAGUUGCGGUUGGUCAAUCUCUGCGGAUGAAGAUUAUAUAGUGUUAUGCUUAAAAGAGGAUGAAGCAUUUCAUGAUGUGAAAGAAGAUAACAAAGAUAUCAACAACUCAAGGCACGUGAACCGUAAGUUAAAAUAUGAAGUGGAAGAAGAACAAGUUAGAAAGGUGAAUAUAGAGGAGAAUAUAUCAAGUGUAAGUGAGGAAGAGAGUGAUGAAGAUUGUAUAACCCCUUGUAAAGAGGUACAAUGCCAUUACCCUAAAGUUUUAUUGGUUAAAUUGGUUUCUUGUUAAUACUGUUUCAUUUGAAUGAAGGAAGAGGAAAAGGAAACAGUAUACUUAAGUAGACAUCGAUAUAAAGAUAGCAUAAGAAGGGAAAAUCAGGUUGAUGGAGAUGAACACGUUGAGAUGAUGUCUGCUGAAUCAAGUGGUUCUGACCAAUCUAAAAGCAGUGCAAGUUCUUUUGCUUUUCCCUCGUUAAAAUGGGAAUGGGCGGAAAGCCCUGUACGAAUGCCUAAGUCAGAAAGUCAGCACAUAAAGAAGCACAGACUCAGAUUUGUUCGAUUCCAGUGUUGUAGAUUCUGAUGAUUGCACUUUUUAAUUUUUCAUUCUAUUUUUUCUAUGGCCACCAAUGAAUUCUUUUAUUCAGAGUGGUAAGAUAAGAAAAACUGUCACCAUUUGUUGUGGAUGAGUUGGUCUGAUUUACCCAUUUUUUAACUGUUUCUAAUUUGUAGCCUCAGCAUCAAUGUUUAAUGGAUCCAUG
Molecule: long non-coding RNA, 936 nt
Filed under: Lupinus mutabilis
Lineage: Eukaryota; Viridiplantae; Streptophyta; Magnoliopsida; Fabales; Fabaceae
Description: partial ncRNA
Source: RNAcentral